Molecule: ribosomal RNA, 615 nt
Filed under: uncultured bacterium
Lineage: Bacteria
Description: bacterial SSU rRNA
Rfam family: Bacterial small subunit ribosomal RNA
Source: RNAcentral
GGCGAACGGGUGAGUAAUAUAUCGGAACGUGCCCAGUCGUGGGGGAUAACGCAGCGAAAGCUGUGCUAAUACCGCAUACGAUCUCUGGAUGAAAGCGGGGGACUCGCAAGAGCCUCGCGCGAUUGGAGCGGCCGAUAUCAGAUUAGCUAGUUGGUGGGGUAAAAGCCCACCAAGGCGACGAUCUGUAGCUGGUCUGAGAGGACGACCAGCCACACUGGAACUGAGACACGGUCCAGACUCCUACGGGAGGCAGCAGUGGGGAAUUUUGGACAAUGGGCGCAAGCCUGAUCCAGCAAUGCCGCGUGCAGGAUGAAGGCCUUCGGGUUGUAAACUGCUUUUGUACGGAACGAAACGGUCCUUUCUAAUACGAGGGGCUAAUGACGGUACCGUAAGAAUAAGCACCGGCUAACUACGUGCCAGCAGCCGCGGUAAUACGUAGGGUGCGAGCGUUAAUCGGAAUUACUGGGCGUAAAGCGUGCGCAGGCGGUGAUGUAAGACAGAUGUGAAAUCCCCGGGCUCAACCUGGGACCUGCAUUUGUGACUGCAUCGCUAGAGUACGGUAGAGGGGGAUGGAAUUCCGCGUGUAGCAGUGAAAUGCGUAGAUAUGCGGAGGAA